UAACUGUUUAAUCCUCUUUUUUUCAUUUUCAUGCUUAAAGGAAUGUUAAUGCUUAUGUUUUACUAUUUAUAAAAUAAACAUAUAACAGCUGGCUUCUUAAGGGGGCUUGCUGUUGAUUUUUUUUUGUUGGAUUAGAUGGCUGCCAGUAUGCAUAGCAUCUUGAGUGUCUUGUUGAUGUUCUGGAUAAAGCAAUUGACGAAAUAUCUGUAAACUAUGUUCUGUUUAACAAAAAAAAAUCAUUAUCCACUUCACUCUUCUUACCUUAUAUGACAUACAGGACUAUCAUUGGUCUAGGUUAAAGCAGUUGUUGUGAUCAGGCAGAGAGAAUUUGAGAGCAUCAACAAAAAUCCUUAUCCACUGCACUUUAUAAAUGUUUUUUCAGUGGCUGUUUGAUAUAGAUGUUUCAUUCGUUGCAUCAGAACAUAUGAUUCUAGGAGCAAAUUAUCUUCGCUGAUCUGUUUUAGUGAGAUGCCUGAUUAGCUGCACAAGCAUACAUGGUUCUGUUAAUAAUUUGUUUGCCCUGAUCAUCUUGAUAUUCAGUUAUGUUGGUAUGGUCAGAAAACAAGCUUCAAAAGUAAUUAUGAUGACCGUUUGCAUGGUGGGUCUUGUAAGCAAUAUGCUUUGCGUAUUCAUGAUUCAACCAUUUGUUGGAUGUUUUAGUUUACAUGUUCGGGCUAGAGCAACUGACGCAUGGGCCAGUCUUGCGCGUAGGCCAGCCUCGAACCGACAUGUGUGUGUGCUUCUGUCCGGGUGAAAGCAGGGGCAAAUCGAUCAUGGGUUGUCAAGUGUGUGGGUGGAUUCGCGCAGGCGGGUGGGUGGAUUCAAGCCGUCUACUCACACCAUGCUCGCUUCCACCUAGCUGCGACUCUUCCUCGUCAAAGAGCCUUGGGCCCAUUCGUCGGUCUCUUGGGUACAUGCGCCUGGUGAGGUCCUUCGUUUACCUGCCUGUCUCUCUCCCUUUACCCUCGUCACCACCAAUCCCUUUCGUCCUCGAGCCCUGCCUCCCCAUCCAGUUCCCAUUCGCCGCUCUCCUCGCUCCCAUCCACGGCGAGCGGGACAGUCGUGAGAGAAUAUCAGUGGGGGCGCGCGUAGAGCCUGAGAGCCGGCGGAAGCAGGGGCUGGGUGUUGGCGGCCGAUGGGGGUCUGGCGGGCGUGGCGGGUGUGGCAGCAGCUGGAAGGGCAGCAACGGCGCGUCGACCAGACCAGCAGCGACCCCGAUGGAGGGGAAGGGACCGGCAGAUGCAUACAUGCAGGAGAGGCUUGGGGGCCUCAUGGAUUGGGAUGGCGGUCGCCCGAGUUUCUUCGCUUGAUCUGGAGAGGGCCAUGGCAGUGCACGCGAGGGGCGGAGGCGAGCGACCCUCUGGAGCCGCACACAUCGACAGGGAGAAGCUCGAGCCGCAGCGGGUCCAUGGCGCCAUCGCCGUCACGGCAGGAGGAGCGUGGGCCGCAGAGACGUCCGGAUCUGUCCAGCCCUCACGACGCCGUCUGACCACCCUAGAGAGUUCAGAGGAAAGCAGGCCAACAUUUUUGCUGCAACAUCUUUGCUGCACUGGACCAGCUCUACAUCCGUGGUGGCGGGCACGGCCUCCGCUGCCGGGUGCACGAUGAGGUGCUCGAGGGGUAGGGCUGCUUGCGGCGCAGGUGCCUGUCGUGUGUCCCAGCGGGGCACCCGAGGCAACUGCAACUGGCCGGCGAGUUUGGCUGAUUUCAACAUGUCAAGAAGAAGACCAUGGCUACCGGAGGACCGCCAGGUCCUGCAUCAUCAACUAACAGCCAACUCCAAACGAUUACUCAGUUGCAGAAUAUCCCAACAAAAGGCAGAAUUCCUUGUAGGAUAAAUAAAACUGCAUCUGAUGCUGACAAGUCUAGGAAUUCCAUAGGCCGAGUAUCGUUGCAGGGUAUAUGCGAACAACAAAAUCUAUGCCACAACUCUUUUCAGUACAUCUAUGGUACCACUCAAAGGUGUCCUCAUUUCGGGAUAGUAAGUCCGAUGACAAGAGAUUCUACAUAUUUUCUCCCACAAAGGCACUUAAGUUGAAGACACAUUCAAAAGAUGACCGUGUCUCUGUGGUCGAGGCCUUGGUCUUGGUCAGGAGUGUUUAUUCGCUCAGGUCGCUUAGUGGAACAAUAACUUUGGUGCAGAGUGACAUUUCUAUUUUGACUGCAAGGAAUCAAAAUCGGAUGCACCAAGAGGCUUUAAACGUGAGUCUUAUACAGGAUUGAGAAUAGAUUAUGCUUUCGGAGUUUUCAUGCUACUGAAAGCAACUGAAGCUACGCUAUGAGGAUCAUCUAAGCUUGUUUGGAUCUAGUAGAUACCAUUUUUGAGCGAGUUUUUCUGAAGAUGUGUCAAUGUUCAGCCUGGAGAAUGUUCAUGUAAAGGCCAGUACACAAGCAUGUCUACUUUGCCAUAUGGAUGGUGGAUUUACAGGACAAAUUUAUGCACCAGCUUUGAAUUCCAUGACGUUGCACGGACUAUGUGGAACCCACUGAUUCAUAGUGAUGUAUUUUCUUCGAGAAAGAGAGGAUUGUGCAAUCAGAAGUACAAUAUGUGAUCAUCAAGUGUAAGAGAUGGCAAGAAUAUGUGUCUCAGGUACCUCUUUUUUCAUUUGUAUGUCUAAGGUAAGAAUGAGAGAUUAGAUAAAAAAACAGGAAAGUGCUUACUUUGUUCAGUGGAUGCAUUCCGUCACUGUCCAUCAACAAGUUCAACUCCGGCUAUGGUUCAGCGAUGUGGGCCGAUGCACCACGUCAGGAACGUCAAUGGCCUGACAGGCCAUUUUCCAACUGGGCCUGUUGUAAAUGACGAGACCAUGAGGAUGCAGACAGUAAUGUUGCUCCUGGUAUAGUUAUUUAGUGAAGUUAUAAGCUUCUCCUUUUGGAGUUUACUUCUACGAGUGAUCAGUCCCUGCAUCUUGUUCUAUUUUUCAGAAAAUGAAUAUGUACUUUGCCGUGCCACUAAUCUCAGCAAAAUAGUAGAUCAUGAUGCCCCUCGUGCUACAGUCAAAUUGAAUCACAAAAAUUCUACAUAUUCAUAAAACACCGAAGGAGGUUAGUUUUUACCUGAGCGGCAACGGCGACUGCCGUGGGCUUGCUGGAGCCUCCCUAGCCAUGGAAAGUCACCAGCUUCAGGGAGUGCCAGGCUGCCAGAAGAGACGCCAUCUUCGGCAGGGAGUGACAACAGCAACCGUGAGGAUUUGGCUCGCUGAUACGAGUGACAUCGGCGCCAUCUGCAGAUUCCGCAGCUCCGAGCUGUAGCGGGAGCUGCCAGGCUGCCCAGAUGCAGUGGGAGCCGCAGUGCCUUCGAGCUGCAGCAUGAUCCGCUCCCCCGUGAAGCUGCAGCGUGAUCCACCGCGAAGAUGGAGCCCAGCGUGAAUCGCCUUCACCAGGUGUUUUCUCCAGUACAGUGGGGAGAGGAAGAGGAUGAACUGAUCGAUGGAAUCAAGGCUAACAGUCCACCACGUGGUUAUCUCUGGCGUUAUAUGUGCAACCCGUGUGUAUAGGUGUCAACCCGUGUGUAUAGGUGUCCAGACUCCAGAGUGUGUGGUUCUUUCUCACAAUGUCACGGUUGUAUUUUUAUCUUUGGUGCUAAUUUGUACUUUAUGUAACUGGUAUAAUCUGUAUUGUUUCAUCAAAUUUAUUCCCACUUAUCUU
Aegilops tauschii subsp. strangulata is the source of this 3648-nucleotide non-coding RNA. The record is from RefSeq and is a predicted model, not a curated record. NCBI's taxonomy places the organism in Eukaryota, Viridiplantae, Streptophyta, Magnoliopsida, Poales, Poaceae.